RNAcentral lists this ribosomal RNA (465 nucleotides) under Vreelandella stevensii. RNAcentral describes it as "partial 16S ribosomal RNA". It matches the Rfam family "Bacterial small subunit ribosomal RNA", at positions 338 to 795 of the family's 1533-position model. Lineage: Bacteria; Pseudomonadati; Pseudomonadota; Gammaproteobacteria; Oceanospirillales; Halomonadaceae. The record is from RNAcentral.
CCUACGGGGGGCAGCAGUGGGGAAUAUUGGACAAUGGGGGCAACCCUGAUCCAGCCAUGCCGCGUGUGUGAAGAAGGCCCUCGGGUUGUAAAGCACUUUCAGUGAGGAAGAACGCCUGGUGGUUAAUACCCAUCAGGAAAGACAUCACUCACAGAAGAAGCACCGGCUAACUCCGUGCCAGCAGCCGCGGUAAUACGGAGGGUGCGAGCGUUAAUCGGAAUUACUGGGCGUAAAGCGCGCGUAGGUGGCUUGAUAAGCCGGUUGUGAAAGCCCCGGGCUCAACCUGGGAACGGCAUCCGGAACUGUCAAGCUAGAGUGCAGGAGAGGAAGGUAGAAUUCCCGGUGUAGCGGUGAAAUGCGUAGAGAUCGGGAGGAAUACCAGUGGCGAAGGAGGCCUUCUGGACUGACACUGACACUGAGGUGCGAAAGCGUGGGUAGCAAACAGGAUUAGAUACCCCAGUAGUC